RNAcentral lists this unclassified non-coding RNA (486 nucleotides) under Actinia tenebrosa (Australian red waratah sea anemone). Its description in RNAcentral is "filamin-A-like, transcript variant X1". The record is from RNAcentral. Lineage: Eukaryota; Metazoa; Cnidaria; Anthozoa; Actiniaria; Actiniidae.
UGAUGAUGACCCAUGAUGAUGACAAUUAUAAUGAUGAUAUUGGUGGAAAAUAUCUAUAUCUGGCGUCGAAACUGGUCACUUUUUAUCAUCCUGGUCGUCUUUAUCAAUAUUUUAUGUUUCCUCCACAUCGACAUCAAAAACAGAUUAUAUAUUAAAUUCUGUUUAAAACAGGAUUUCCAGGCUACAACCACACAGCGCUUUCUAUAUCAUUAUGGUAAUUUUAUACCAUCAAUUGGUCACGUUGUACAAAUGAAACGAAAGUUUCCUCCCGCUGAUGUUGAGAACUGAACGCUGUGAAGAUUCACAGCCGUUCGCCGUAAAAAAAGACAACAUGGACUCUCUUCCAUGAGAUUUAGAUAGCCUUUCUCGAGGCUCUGUUGAUAUUCUUCUAGCGUUUGUUUGGUUUCUUAUUGAAGUCUACCUCAUCGAACCUUGCAGAACAACAAUGUUGGGCAAGACUCAGAGCUCAGCACGGAAGUUCAUUCU